This is a long non-coding RNA of Terrapene triunguis (Three-toed box turtle), 329 nucleotides long. RefSeq lists it as uncharacterized. The record is from RefSeq and is a predicted model, not a curated record. The transcript has 3 exons. Lineage: Eukaryota; Metazoa; Chordata; Testudines; Emydidae.
UGCGGUCCAAAUCCUCCCGUCUUCCCAUGAGAGAGGGGUGAGAAAUGGCUGUGUAGGAGCGAGCUCAGAUGCCGGUGACCUACGAGGAGGUGGCUGUGUAUUUCACCCAGGGGCAGGGGGCUCUGCUGGACCCCGCUCAGAGAGCCCUCUACAGGGAUGACAUGCAGGAGAAUUACGAGACGGUGACCUCACUGGGAUUGCCCAUUCCCAAACCUGACCUGAUCUCCCAGCUGGAGCAAGGGGAAAAGCCGUGGGUGCCCGAUCUCCAGGCCUGCGAGGAAAGAGAGAUCUCGAGAGGCGCUCACAUAGGUGAGGACCGACAUGGAAAC